RNAcentral lists this ribosomal RNA (498 nucleotides) under uncultured bacterium. RNAcentral's name for it is "partial 16S ribosomal RNA". It matches the Rfam family "Bacterial small subunit ribosomal RNA", at positions 29 to 523 of the family's 1533-position model. The record is from RNAcentral.
AUUGAACGCUGGCAGCACGCUUUACACAUGCAAGUCGAACGGCAACAGGCCGCAAGGUGCUGACGAGCGGCGAACGGGUGAGUAAUGCAUCGGAACGUGCCCAGUCGUGGGGGAUAACGCAGCGAAAGCUGCGCUAAUACCGCAUACGAUCUAUGGAUGAAAGCGGGGGAACGUAAGGCCUCGCGCGAUUGGAGCGGCCGAUGUCAGAUUAGGUAGUUGGUGGGGUAAAGGCUCACCAAGCCGACGAUCUGUAGCUGGUCUGAGAGGACGACCAGCCACACUGGGACUGAGACACGGCCCAGACUCCUACGGGAGGCAGCAGUGGGGAAUUUUGGACAAUGGGGGCAACCCUGAUCCAGCAAUGCCGCGUGCAGGAAGAAGGCCUUCGGGUUGUAAACUGCUUUUGUACGGAACGAAACGGCUCUGGUUAAUACCUGGGGCUAAUGACGGUACCGUAAGAAUAAGCACCGGCUAACUACGUGCCAGCCGCCGCAGUAA